GGCUGCUUUCUGAUCCAAACUGCCUUUGUGGUUGCCGUGGCAACAGUUACACAGGUCACCGGGACACUGCUCAGGCUCCGCUGUGCUUGCCAUGGCUCUGGCCCUCGUGCCCUCUCACAUUCCCCCACAUUUUCAAAAUCUUACCCAUCCCCGCAGCACGUCAGGCCCCAGGGAAGCUUCCUGGCCGCUUGUGACCUAUUAUUCCUGCCCUCCCCUGCACUCCCACGGGGCUUUAUUUCUGCCUCUGCCCCGGCAGUGAGCACCACGUGGCACGGCGUUGUUCCUGGCCCUGUACCCAGUCAUGUUGGGACUUAGGAAAUGUGUCCUCUUUACCUCUGGGCCCUCACAACCAGCUCGCUGACCGGCAGGGGCGCCCUGGUACACCCCACCCGCACCCAAGGGCACCCUGGGCCUGGCUCGCCUUCUCACCCUCAGCCCAGGCCCCAGCUCCUGCCGAGGGUCUGAGACUGUGUGGUGAGCAGCGGUCCCUGAAUGAGCCUCGAGACAGCACCAUGUCCUGCUGCCACUUUGCCCUGGCGUGGUGGCCCUGCCCUGGCCUCCACCCAGCCUGCCCCCAAGCCCCUCCGCAUCGGCCCUGCCUGAAGGCACCGGUGCUCUCACCUGUCAGAAAUCGCACCCGUCACCUUGGCCUGCUGAGCACCGCCUGGACUGAGGAGCGCACCUCCCUCCACCACAGUCCUGCCGCAGGACCCUCGCUGUCGUGACCUGAGGUGCACAGCUGCAGACCGCACUCCGGAUGUGGACUCCAACAGACUGUGCCCAGCACGUGCCCUUACAAGACUUUCUGGUCUGUAAAAUGGACCACCACACCUACCUCACAGGGGUGUUGUGAGGGUAGCAUGAGCAAUGUUUGGAAAAGG
Heterocephalus glaber (naked mole-rat) is the source of this 881-nucleotide non-coding RNA. Lineage: Eukaryota; Metazoa; Chordata; Mammalia; Rodentia; Bathyergidae. The record is from RefSeq and is a predicted model, not a curated record.